GUCUACGGCCAUACCACCCUGAACGCGCCCAAUCUCGUCUGAUCUCGGAAGCUAAGCAGGGUCGGGCCUGGUUAGUACUUGGAUGGGAGAUUCGCAUAGAAAGUGGUGACGUUUAGA
This 117-nucleotide ribosomal RNA is filed under the name Vulpes vulpes (red fox). The record is from RNAcentral. Lineage: Eukaryota; Metazoa; Chordata; Mammalia; Carnivora; Canidae.